Molecule: non-coding RNA, 86 nt
Organism: Fomes fomentarius
Lineage: Eukaryota; Fungi; Basidiomycota; Agaricomycetes; Polyporales; Polyporaceae
Source: the annotation of a GenBank genome assembly
UCUCUGUUAGUAUAUCGGUUAGUACACGCGCCUGUCAAUAGUUACUGUGGCCGCGCGAAAGCGGGGUUCGACUCCCCGACAGAGAG